Molecule: long non-coding RNA, 1167 nt
Filed under: Dromaius novaehollandiae (emu)
Lineage: Eukaryota; Metazoa; Chordata; Aves; Casuariiformes; Dromaiidae
Description: lncRNA (ENSDNVG00000004194.1)
Source: RNAcentral
ACUUUACUUUCACUGCAGGGAAGUCCAGCAUUUCCUGGUAACUUUGUCUCAGAGUUUUGGGGGUCUUGAGGCUGGUUUUGAGUUUAUUUAUUUAUUAGAAUUCACCUUUUUUUUUUUUUUUUUUUUAAGCCCUUCAGGUGGAAGAAGAUCUUUCCCCUGCUUUCUGCUAGCCGGCCGGAGCAGGCAAUUAGCAUCCCCACUGCCACCACGGCCACCGAGAAGCGGCGAGGACCAGAGGCUCUGCCGCAGGAACCCGCCAGAACAGAAGCCCGCUGGGGCGCCGGUUUGGUCACCUGUGUACUGGAGCAACAUAGCUAAGUUGUGGGUUGACUUGCACUUGCAUCACUACCCUGAACUUAAUUGUGUCUGCAGUCAUCUGGAACUGACUACAUGCCAGGACUGAUAAAAGAUGCCGUGCAAACAUGGAUCUCUCGGGCCGUGGCAAGAUGCUUUUGCAGUAUCCUGUCUCUCUAUUGCCUGGACCUCUGGAAGACAGAAGAGUGGGAAUCAACAGUGAUGGUUUUCCUGCAAAUGCAAUUUGAGAACUACUUUGACAGCCGAUAGAAAAAGAACUACCUUGCAGUGUGACCACAGCAAGUGCAUGUUCUUUCUGACAGUGUAUAAUUGCACUGUGUCCCUGGUGAGGAAUGAUGCCAGAAUCGCCAUCUGAUUAUCUGUAUUCUUUUCUCAUAGUUGUUUUAACCAAGUUGUUUCUUUUCCACAAAUGUUCAUGCAAAAAAUGCAAAGAUUCUCCAUGUAGAAUAAGUAGGCCUAUAAAGUAAGGAAUGGCUGGUAUGGAACAAACGGAAAAUUAGAUCUUUCAGCAAUUUUGCUCUUGUAAUUAAGGCCUGUCUGUGGCAGUUCUGAUGCGGGAUACACUUAGUGAGGCUUAUGAGAAUUUUCCCUGUGUGAAGACUGCAGGAUUUAGCCCUAGCAAAUAAUAACGUUCUAACAAUGGUAGCCGUUGGGCUAUAGGUGAGUUUUCUUUGGAGAGGAAAAAAAAGAGGGAGAAGAAGAAAACUUGUCAAAAGUUUGAUGCCAUCUUUCAGUAUUAAGUGACAGAUAAACAGAGGGAAAAAACAAAAGGUGAACUAAAUCACGGUAUGGAUGGAUACAUGCUUUCUGUUAUUGAAUAAACAAAAUUCAGUGAUGUAUAUUAUUCCGUGU